RNAcentral lists this ribosomal RNA (402 nucleotides) under uncultured bacterium. RNAcentral describes it as "bacterial SSU rRNA". It matches the Rfam family "Bacterial small subunit ribosomal RNA", at positions 355 to 774 of the family's 1533-position model. The record is from RNAcentral.
UGGGGAAUCUUGCACAAUGGGGUCAACCCUGAUGCAGCGACGCCGCGUGAGCGAUGAAGCCCUUCGGGGCGUAAAGCUCUUUCGACCGGAACGAUAAUGACGGCACCGGGAGAAGAAGCUGCGGCUAACUACGUGCCAGCAGCCGCGGUAAUACGUAGGCAGCAAGCGUUGUUCGGAGUUACUGGGCGUAAAGAGUGCGUAGGCGGUUUUCUAAGUUCGGUGUGAAAUCUCCCGGCUUAACUGGGAGGGUGCGCCGAAGACUGGGAAGCUGGAGGGUGGGAAAGGCAGGCGGAAUUCCUGGUGUAGCGGUGAAAUGCGUAGAUAUCAGGAGGAACACCGGCGGUGUAGACGGCUUGCUAGACCAUAACUGACGCUGAGGCACGAAAGCGUGGGUAGCAAACA